RNAcentral lists this ribosomal RNA (253 nucleotides) under uncultured bacterium. Its description in RNAcentral is "partial 16S ribosomal RNA". It matches the Rfam family "Bacterial small subunit ribosomal RNA", at positions 524 to 777 of the family's 1533-position model. The record is from RNAcentral.
UACGGGGGGGCAAGCGUUGUUCGGAAUUACUGGGCGUAAAGGGUUCGUAGGUGGCUCGUUAAGUCAGACGUGAAAUCCCUCGGCUCAACCGAGGAACUGCGUCUGAGACUGAUGAGCUCGAGUGCAGGAGAGGAACGCGGAAUUCCAGGUGUAGCGGUGAAAUGCGUAGAUAUCUGGAGGAACACCAAUGGCGAAGGCGGAUCUCUGGGCCAUUACUGACGCUGAGGAGCGAAAGCUAGGGGAGCAAACAGGG